AAUGGGGGAUAACGUAGCGAAAGUUACGCUAAUACCGCAUAUGCCCUGAGGGGGAAAGUGGGGGAUCGCAAGACCUCACGUUUUCGGAGCGGCCGAUAUCAGAUUAGCUAGUUGGUGGGGUAAAGGCCUACCAAGGCGACGAUCUGUAGCUGGUCUGAGAGGACGACCAGCCACACUGGGACUGAGACACGGCCCAGACUCCUACGGGAGGCAGCAGUGGGGAAUUUUGGACAAUGGGGGCAACCCUGAUCCAGCCAUGCCGCGUGAGUGAAGAAGGCCUUCGGGUUGUAAAGCUCUUUCGGACGGAAAGAAAUCCUAUCCGCUAAUACCGGGUGGGGAUGACGGUACCGUAAGAAGAAGCACCGGCUAACUACGUGCCAGCAGCCGCGGUAAUACGUAGGGUGCGAGCGUUAAUCGGAAUUACUGGGCGUAAAGCGUGCGCAGGCGGUUUAUUAAGACAGAUGUGAAAUCCCCGGGCUUAACCUGGGAACUGCAUUUGUGACUGGUAGGCUAGAGUGUGGCAGAGGGGGGUAGAAUUCCA
Molecule: ribosomal RNA, 541 nt
Filed under: uncultured Gallionellaceae bacterium
Lineage: Bacteria; Pseudomonadati; Pseudomonadota; Betaproteobacteria; Nitrosomonadales; Gallionellaceae
Description: bacterial SSU rRNA
Rfam family: Bacterial small subunit ribosomal RNA
Source: RNAcentral